CAGUCGCCACGGUAAUACGUAGGUGGCAAGCGUUGUCCGGAAUUAUUGGGCGUAAAGGGCUCGCAGGCGGUUUCUUAAGUCUGAUGUGAAAACCCCCGGCUCAACCGGGGAGGGUCAUUGGAAACUGGGAAACUUGAGUGCAGAAGAGGAGAGUGGAAUUCCACGUGUAGCGGUGAAAUGCGUAGAGAUGUGGAGGAACACCAGUGGCGAAGGCGACUCUCUGGUCUGUAACUGACGCUGAGGAGCGAAAGCGUGGGGAGCGAACAGGAUUAGAUACCCCUGUAGUCCCUGUCUCUUAUAC
RNAcentral lists this ribosomal RNA (301 nucleotides) under uncultured bacterium. RNAcentral describes it as "partial 16S ribosomal RNA". It matches the Rfam family "Bacterial small subunit ribosomal RNA", at positions 509 to 807 of the family's 1533-position model. The record is from RNAcentral.